CUCAGUUACAAGAUGCAGUGAUAUGUGUGGUGUGAAAUGCUAGCUCAGCUGGCUUUUGAUAUUUUGGAUGCUCUGUUUAAAUCUAAUUCGGUGGUGCGUGUAGCGUUGGUCUACUACGUGUAAUAACGUGUGGACUGAUUUCCUUUUCUUGAAGGGAUGAAGCUGGAACUCUUUUCGUUAUCUAAAAAUGUGUGGUGUGAAUGUGUGAUGUAGCUGCUUUUUCAGACACCACCAGUUUUCUGCUUUUUCAGACACCACCAGUUUUUCUUUAAAAAAAAGUAAAUUGCUGCAGCCAACAUUUUUCAUGAAAAACUGUGGCUCUUGCAUCCUAGCGAUAGGCUGAUGAAAUAGCAAUGGCGCAAUGCAGAUUUGGCAAUGCAAGGAAAUCCUGAAUCAAGAGAAGAACCGGUGCGAAUACGCGUCAUCUUCAGAAGAUGAUGGUAUCUUGUUGUGAGCUCGAAACAGAUAAGAAGAUGUGGUGACUCAAUUGAGUGAGAAUAUGCAGUAUAUUUAGAAGGUUCGACGAUAUCUUUGUUAGCUCGAAACAGAUCAGGAGGUGGUGUGAGUGACUCACUCGGUCGUCUCAGGCUCAGGCGAGGAGUACUUCUGGAUGGCGGCGAUGAUCCUCUCCUUGUCCCUCGUCGCGAACGACUCCACCAGCACCCCGUCCUUG
This 673-nucleotide long non-coding RNA is filed under the name Setaria italica (foxtail millet). RNAcentral describes it as "long non-coding RNA (SITA_LNC000510)". The record is from RNAcentral. Lineage: Eukaryota; Viridiplantae; Streptophyta; Magnoliopsida; Poales; Poaceae.